GAUAAACGCUGGCGGCGUGCCUAAUACAUGCAAGUCGAGCGAACAGACGAGGAGCUUGCUCCUCUGACGUUAGCGGCGGACGGGUGAGUAACACGUGGAUAACCUACCUAUAAGACUGGGAUAACUUCGGGAAACCGGAGCUAAUACCGGAUAAUAUAUUGAACCGCAUGGUUCAAUAGUGAAAGACGGUUUUGCUGUCACUUAUAGAUGGAUCCGCGCCGCAUUAGCUAGUUGGUAAGGUAACGGCUUACCAAGGCGACGAUGCGUAGCCGACCUGAGAGGGUGAUCGGCCACACUGGAACUGAGACACGGUCCAGACUCCUACGGGAGGCAGCAGUAGGGAAUCUUCCGCAAAGGGCGAAAGCCUGACGGAGCAACGCCGCGUGAGUGAUGAAGGUCUUCGGAUCGUAAAACUCUGUUAUUAGGGAAGAACAAAUGUGUAAGUAACUAUGCACGUCUUGACGGUACCUAAUCAGAAAGCCACGGCUAACUACGUG
Molecule: ribosomal RNA, 497 nt
Filed under: uncultured bacterium
Lineage: Bacteria
Description: partial 16S ribosomal RNA
Rfam family: Bacterial small subunit ribosomal RNA
Source: RNAcentral